GACGAACCGUACGAACGUUAGGCGGAAUCACUGGGCUUAAAGCGUGUGUAGGCGGAUGCCUAAGUACCUUGUGAAAUCCCACGGCUCAACCGUGGAACUGCUUGGUAUACUGGGUGUCUUGAGCUAUCUAGGGGCAACUGGAACAAACGGUGGAGCGGUGAAAUGCGUAGAUAUCGUUUGGAACGCCAAUGGUGAAAACAGGUUGCUGGGGAUAUGCUGACGCUGAGACACGAAAGCCAGGGGAGCAAACGGG
This 253-nucleotide ribosomal RNA is filed under the name uncultured bacterium. RNAcentral's name for it is "partial 16S ribosomal RNA". It matches the Rfam family "Bacterial small subunit ribosomal RNA", at positions 524 to 776 of the family's 1533-position model. The record is from RNAcentral.